CUUCGUCAUCUUCAUCUCAGCAUUCUCUAAAAAACCCUAAUCUGCCAUGGAUAUUGGUGAUUUAGCUCCCCAAACUCCACCAAAGUGAUCCCACGGAACCACUAAAGCAUCCUCGUACUGAAUCCAUGAACUAGUUCCCUUGAAUACUCCUUAAAUAUCUUGAAUCUUGAAUCCAAAAUCAUAAUCUGUAAGAACCAAGUCCAAAUCCAGGCAUUCAAGGUGAUUGAUCUAGUCUUCUUAAGAGUUUAGAGUUGAUUUUGUCGUGAAAUAGUGUUGUAUAUUUGUUCUAGACAAAGAACAAGAAGUUUGGCGAUGAAAUCGGAAAGUCAGGAUCGAAAUCAAGUGCUAUGAGGUAAGUUCUUUUUCUGUUCAAAUCAUCUUGAUAUUCCGGCUUCUAUUCUUCUCCUUCACUUCUUUUUCUGGACAAUUCAGUCAGAAAUCGAGUCAAGAUUUGUCCAACUUGGUAAAUGUUGUUUGUUCUUCUCUAGUCUGUCAUUCAACCCUAUUAUGGUCAUGACAUGAUUGUUGUCUCAGUUUCAAUAUCACGUUUUAUCACUAGUUAAUAAAUUUGGGGCUCUAAUUUGAUUAAAUUACAAUGAUGUCUAGUUCAAUGAAUUUGUUCUUAUUUUUGCUACUUUUGAAAAAAUAAUUUUGGAUUUCAUUAUGUGGGAAAUUGUGGUGUCAAAUUUUAUUCUGCAGCAUUUAAACAGUUUAAUUGAUGUGAAACUAGCCCAAAUAUGGAUUCAAUUUGGGGUCUAUGACCCAUCUAGCAAGGCCAGUUGGCCCGGGUAGUUUUUAGGGUAAUAACAUGGUCAUAGAUAUUAUUUUGGAGUAAAUAGAUAGAUGAAUAUUUUUCUAACUGAUCAAGAAGAUUCUAGGAAGCUGGGUGGGGGGUAUAAUUUGAAUUUCAGAUUUUUCAUUAAGGUUAUAUAGACAAAAAUGUAAAUUCAAAUAGGGCUAAAAUGCAAAGCUGAAAUCCAUUGUUUACCCUAAUUUCCUUGCUAUAAAGGCACCUUUUCUUGCCUUUCAAGGCAGAACUAAGUGGUAGAAAAAUCCAAAAAUUAUAGUAGCCAAAAAUUGAUAAGAAAUCUAAUGUUCUAUUGAAAUUUUCGUCGAUUUUUCUUAGUUUUCAAUUGCUGAAAGUCAGUGGAAUCGGUGUUACUUGGUCUUAAUUCUCCGAAUCACUUUGUUGGUUUUAAAACAUCUGGAAAACUUAAGAAAAACUGAGUGGUGAUAAAAUGAGUUUGAGCUUGGGUAUAGAAUACGCUUGGUUUGAUUUUGUUAGUUGGUUUUGUUGAGUUUCUUUUUCUGAGGCAAUCCCAUUAUUUCAUUACUGAGUUGGUUGAAUCUGGGGUUGUUUGUUGCUGUUUUAUGCUGCUCUUCUUAUUUCACUCUUAUUUUGCCUUUUCCAAGUAUUCAUCUCACCUUCUAAUGUAUGAGAAAGGAUGAACAUGAAAUUGGUUUAUUCAAGUCGAGAUUUGUAAUAAUACAGUUAUUUUUGUUUACUGUUUAUGCAUUUUCGAAGUCAUCUGAAUUAGUUUAGUUUUCUUAUGUCUCCUACUAUUCUGUUUUGAAUAUGGAAUGAUGUAGCAGUUCUAACUUGUUAGUUCUUUAUACUGAUUACUAAAUGUGUGUGGAAGGUCACGAUAAAUGCUGGGUAAGAUCUGGAAGUUGUAUGUGCUCACAAGGUUCUAUUUCAUUGUUGAUCAAUGUGCAGAAAAACUCAGGUAUUCGUUUCUGUUGAGGAGAUAAAAAUUAAAAUUAAUUGGUAAAGCAGUAUUUAGCAUAUAAUCCACGAUAAAAAUGGGAAGCAUGACUAUAUCACUAGGG
This 1830-nucleotide long non-coding RNA is filed under the name Nicotiana benthamiana. RNAcentral's name for it is "long non-coding RNA (NBEN_LNC039815)". The record is from RNAcentral. Lineage: Eukaryota; Viridiplantae; Streptophyta; Magnoliopsida; Solanales; Solanaceae.